GGCAGAACUCAACAGAUAGCAUUAACAGCACCCAUGCAAAUCCUAUGUAAAAAUUUUGAAUCAUGCUAUGGCACUUGGAGAACGUUUAACAAAACAUAAAUUGUUAAAAUAGGCUCCCUUGUAUAUAUUUGGUUGAAACUACUUAAAAGGAACCAAUGUUUGGCAAUUUUCAUUCACAAUAUCUCCCUAUCAGUGGUAGCUUUC
Molecule: unclassified non-coding RNA, 204 nt
Filed under: Hevea brasiliensis (rubber tree)
Lineage: Eukaryota; Viridiplantae; Streptophyta; Magnoliopsida; Malpighiales; Euphorbiaceae
Source: RNAcentral